AUCCAGCUGACGAGUCCCAAAUAGUGGGACGAAAUGCGCAUCCUAGUGGAU
This is a non-coding RNA of Trichobilharzia regenti, 51 nucleotides long. Lineage: Eukaryota; Metazoa; Platyhelminthes; Trematoda; Strigeidida; Schistosomatidae. The record is from Rfam.